AUUGAACGCUGGCGGCAUGCCUUACACAUGCAAGUCGAACGGCAGCAUAGGAGCUUGCUCCUGAUGGCGAGUGGCGAACGGGUGAGUAAUAUAUCGGAACGUGCCCUAGAGUGGGGGAUAACUAGUCGAAAGACUAGCUAAUACCGCAUACGAUCUACGGAUGAAAGUGGGGGAUCGCAAGACCUCAUGCUCCUGGAGCGGCCGAUAUCUGAUUAGCUAGUUGGUGGGGUAAAAGCUCACCAAGGCGACGAUCAGUAGCUGGUCUGAGAGGACGACCAGCCACACUGGGACUGAGACACGGCCCAGACUCCUACGGGAGGCAGCAGUGGGGAAUUUUGGACAAUGGGGGCAACCCUGAUCCAGCAAUGCCGCGUGAGUGAAGAAGGCCUUCGGGUUGUAAAGCUCUUUUGUCAGGGAAGAAACGGUUCUGGAUAAUACCUGGAGCUAAUGACGGUACCUGAAGAAUAAGCACCGGCUAACUACGUGCCAGCAGCCGCCGCAG
Molecule: ribosomal RNA, 502 nt
Filed under: uncultured bacterium
Lineage: Bacteria
Description: partial 16S ribosomal RNA
Rfam family: Bacterial small subunit ribosomal RNA
Source: RNAcentral